ACCAUCUGAAAAUCAGGACAGAACUAUUAUAACCCCCAAAUAAAUACAAAUUCUUAAGACCGGCUAUUUAGCUAACUGGUAAUCAGCUAGCCCAUCACAAUCAGUUAUACUGCUACUACAAGUCUUCACACGUUACCCGGUCUACUACCGAGGAGAAGAAGUUGGGACAAGGGGAAUGGAGAACUCCGAGGCCCCGCCACGGCCUCUGACUCUGACGGAAGCUGCACCCGCGAUGAUCUAUUAGUCACCCCGUGCUCAGGACGCUCAGAGCACGAGCUGGGCAUGCCCAUCAGGCCAUGCUCCACACCUUUCUCAAUCACCUGGCAGAGCUCAUCGUCUCUGUUACUAUGGGUGAGCAAGAUGGUUCAGCUGGAGCAAACUGCUUUCAAAUUAUCUGUUGCAAAGUGAAAAAUACUGGUUAAACAUGUGGAUUUAUGAAACUAAUGAUGAUAUGCUUUGGGUUAAAUAAAUGCAAACACGUCUACACGUACUGAUGGUCAAUGAGAAAGUACUCGUACAAAGAGACUACAAAGGAGUACAAGUACAGCUACGCAUACAGUAAAGAUCAUCAAAACUGGAUACAAUACUAUUCAACUAAACCUUCAGUCCCCGAAUCACAACCGGAUUCUGUUCGACAGACCAUGUCCACUGUCCACAUACGCAUCACUCAAGUGACCAGUCAGCCUGCCACUCUAUUCCUCAGUCCUCACGCACUACCGAGUCCCACCCAGAAGGUCCAUGGUAAACACAAAUCCCAGUCCAAGGUCCAUGAAAACAACAGCCACAGAAUCCUUGACCCAAUCUUCUCAUAACGACUACGACUAUAAGGGGCGCUGCCCUAUUCUUCUAAAAAAAACUAUAAGGGGCAAGAAGAUACAAUCUUCUCUGUUCAUCUCGUGUUGUUUCUCCAUAAGACCAUUGAUGCCUUACCUUGCCAGUGCACAACUUAAGGAUCUGGAUUCCAUGCUAGUUUCAUCAUAAUUAAACCAUGCAGUCACUCCAUUUUUCGUACAAGACACACACCAACAAAUUGCACAUACCUUCCCUCGGCCUUGCUCUUAUGCUGCUGGUCUGCUUGGCCUCUCAUACCAGUUCCUGCACGGAGCAGGAGAAGGGCUCCCUUCUCCAGUUCCUUGCCAAGCUCUCACAAGACGGUGGCCUCGCUGCAUCCUGGCGGAAUGGCACGAAUUGCUGCAAGUGGGAAGGGAUCACCUGCAGGGAAGAUGGGACGGUCACCGCUGUCUUGCUGCCUUCGAAGGGCCUCCACGGGCACAUCUCACAAUCCCUUGGAAACCUAACCGGGCUGCAGUACCUUGAUCUCUCUGACAACUUGUUGUCCGGUGGUCUGCCGGUGGAGUUGGUGUUCUCCAACAGCAUCACAACCCUUGAUGUCAGCUUUAACCGGCUCAAUAGCAUACUCGACGAGCUGCCAUCUUCAACCCCUGACCGGUCUAUGCAGGUACUGAACAUCUCAAGCAACUUAUUUGUGGGACAGUUUCCAUCCACCAUAUGGAAAGCAAUGGGGAAUCUGGUCGCACUCAAUGCCAGCAACAACAGCUUUACUGGGCAGAUACCAGCUUAUUUCUGUGAAACCUCACCAUUCUUCGCCGUGCUUGAUCUAUGCUUCAACAAAUUCAGUGGCAACAUCCCCCAAGGACUUUGUGAUUGCUCCAGGCUGAGAGAGCUCAGGGCCGGGAACAACAACCUCAGUGGAACACUCCCAGAUGAACUCUUCAACGCUACCUUGUUGGAGUACCUGUCUUUUCCUAACAAUGAUCUACAUGGAGCUCUUGAUGAUGUGCUCAUAAUCAACCUCAGAAAUAUCGUCACCCUAGAUCUUGGAGGGAACAAAUUCAGUGGCAGGAUUCCAGAUUCUAUAGGUCAGCUCAAGAAACUGGAGGAGUUCCAUUUGGACAACAACAUGAUGUUAGGGGAGUUGCCAUCAGCUCUGAGCAACUGCACGAAUCUCAGAACAAUUGAUAUCAAGACGAACAAAUUCAGUGGAGAACUCACCAAGGUCAAUUUCUCCAACCUUCCCUCUCUGAAAACAUUAGACCUUCUGAACAACAACUUCACUGGCACAGUUCCAGAAAGCAUUUACUCCUGCAGCAAUCUGACUGCACUGCGGCUAGAAGGCAACAAGUUACAUGGGCAGCUUUCACCACAAAUAAGCAAUCUGAAGUCCCUCUCCUUCCUAGCACUUGGUAAAAACAAUUUCACAAACAUCACAAAUACACUUCAGAUCCUUAAGAGCUGCAGGAACAUUACCACUCUUCUUAUCGGCGAUAACUUCAAGGGAGAGCUCAUGCCAGAGGAUGACAGCAAUGAUGGCUUUGAAAAUCUCCAGGUUUUGGACAUCAAAGAUUGCCAGUUGUCGGGAGAAAUACCUGUAUGGAUAUCAAGGCUCACACAUUUGAAGAUGUUACUUUUAAAUAGCAAUCAACUCACUGGGCCAAUACCAACCUGGAUCAGCUCCCUAAGAUAUCUCUUCUUUAUGGAUGUGUCAAAUAACAAUCUUAUAGGAGAGAUUCUGUUAACCUUCACGGAGAUGCCCAUGCUAACUGACAGCAAAACUCAUUUGGACCCAAGGGUCUUUGAGCUGCCUCUUUAUAAAGGUCCAUCACUUCAAUACCGUGUGGUUACAUCUUUCCCAAACACGUUAAAUCUAAGCAACAACAACUUCACAGGUGUGAUUCCCCCACAGAUUGGUCAGUUGGAAGUGCUUGGUGUACUUGAUUUCAGUUUCAAUAAGUUAUUCGGGCAGAUCCCCCAAUCGUUUUGCAACCUCACAAACUUGCAGGUGCUAGACUUGUCCAACAACAAUCUCACAGGUGAUAUCCCAGCUGCAUUGAAUAGCCUGCACUUCCUUUCAGCAUUCAGCAUUUCAAACAAUGACCUACAAGGGCCUAUUCCAUCUGGAGGCCAGUUUGAAACAUUUCAGAAUUCUAGUUUUGAUGGGAACCCAAAGCUGUGUGGCUCUAUUCUCAGUCACAAAUGUGUUUCUGUAAAAGCACAAGAAGCCAUCAUUCUGUCAAGAAAACAAACUGACUACAAGGUGGGCUUUGUGAUUGCCUUCAGUGCGUUCUUUGGUGUAGGGGUGUUGUAUGAUCAGUUAGUCUUAUCCAGGUAUUUUAGCUAGUCCUACUUGGGUUCACAUAUUGGUUUAUGAUAAUUUCGUUCAUAUUAGGCUGCUACUCAGGUUUAGCAACACGUCCAGCGAAUAAGCUUCUCCUCUAGGUGCAAGUCACAAUUAGGUAGUAGCAAUUAAAUAUUCUAGGGUGAAGAGUGAUUUCAAUAUGUGGAGAUGUUAAAGUAUGUAACAAUGUAAGAUAUUCUGUAGAAAACUGUCAUCUCAGCAUUCCAUAUAACACAAUUCAGCACAUCAGAGUAUGUACUCUUGAUGUUCUAAUAGCUUAAAUUUCGACAAUAAACACUGCUUAUAAUAUUUGAGAUCAUCAGCCGGGGAAAACAAUGGUACAGUGCCAGCCACUUUGCUGUUUCUCUUGCAUCAGUAAAGAAUAUCAGUAGGUACAUGUACAUGGGAUCGAUCACAAAUAAGUUACUGCAACUUCACUAGACAAUGAAUAGGAUCAAAACAACACCGAGCAAAAUUAUUUCCAAACAUAAGGAAUAGAGGAAGGAAAAGAACCUACGAUUUACCGAAGACAGAGCAGAGUUCAACCGCAAAAAGCUACAUUUGAAGGAGUCUACUUAAUUGUUAUCCUCUCUUUUCUCAGUAAUGGAGUGACUAGCUACCCACAACCUUUUAUUCUAGUUCCAUUCUUACUGGUUAAACUGAAGCAUUCUAGAUGUGUCAAGAACUCAUCUUGUUUGUGUUCACCUAGCUUUGCUUUUAACAAUUUACUUUGCUUUGGAGCAAUAUAAGACCACACGGUUGAGCCAUACUAAAUCCUUGGGUAUAAGCACUAACAUCAUUGAACGGCACACCUCCAAAAAUCCAUAACAAAAUGUUCUUACGAUAACAAGGAUGGUAGCUGCUAUGAAGACAAUCACUGGCAUUGAACAGAUUUUAUAAGCAGAGUGCAUCUCAAGGUAUUGAGUAAGAAGGACGCUGAUUUCGCACCCACCAUGUAUUAACAGCGAGUGUUUUCGAGCGAUGUACCUCUUGAGAGGAUG
This 4137-nucleotide long non-coding RNA is filed under the name Triticum aestivum (bread wheat). RNAcentral describes it as "long non-coding RNA (TAES_LNC011544)". Lineage: Eukaryota; Viridiplantae; Streptophyta; Magnoliopsida; Poales; Poaceae. The record is from RNAcentral.